This 460-nucleotide ribosomal RNA is filed under the name uncultured bacterium. Its description in RNAcentral is "partial 16S ribosomal RNA". It matches the Rfam family "Bacterial small subunit ribosomal RNA", at positions 338 to 795 of the family's 1533-position model. The record is from RNAcentral.
CCUACGGGGUGCAGCAGUGAGGAAUAUUGGUCAAUGGGCGCGAGCCUGAACCAGCCAAGUAGCGUGAAGGAUGACUGCCCUACGGGUUGUAAACUUCUUUUAUAAAGGAAUAAAGUGAGGCACGUGUGCCUUUUUGUAUGUACUUUAUGAAUAAGGAUCGGCUAACUCCGUGCCAGCAGCCGCGGUAAUACGGAGGAUCCGAGCGUUAUCCGGAUUUAUUGGGUUUAAAGGGAGCGUAGACGGGUUGUUAAGUCCGUUGUGAAAGUUUGCGGCUCAAACGUAAAAUUGCAAUUGAUACUGGCAGACUUGAGUACGGGUGAGGUAGGCGGAAUGCGUGGUGGAGCGGUGAAAUGCUUAGAUAUCGCGAAGAACUCCGAUUGCGAAGGCAGCUUACUAAACUGCCACUGACGUUGAUGCACGAAAGUGUGGGUAUCAAACAGGAUUAGAUACCCUUGUAGUC